GACGAACGCUGGCGGCGUGCCUAAUACAUGCAAGUCGAACGAAGCUGUUUUAACUGGUGCUUGCACCGACUUAAACAAUUGAGUGGCGAACGGGUGAGGAACACGUGGGUAACCUGCCCCAAAGCGGGGGAUAACAUUUGGAAACAGAUGCUAAUACCGCAUAAUCACAGAAACCACAUGGUUUCUGUGUCAAAGAUGGUUUCGGCUAUCACUUUGGGAUGGACCCGCGGCGUAUUAGCUAGUUGGUAAGGUAAUGGCUUACCAAGGCAAUGAAACGUAGCCGAACUGAGAGGUGGGUCGGCCACAAUGGGACGGAGACACGGCCCAAACUACGACGGGAGGCAGCAGUAGGGAAUGUUCCACAAUGGACGAAAGUCUGAUGUAGCAACGCCGCGUGAGUGAAGAAGGUUUUCGGAUCGUAAAACUCUGUUGUCAGAGAAGAACGUGUGCGAGAGUAACUGUUCGUGGAGUGACGGUAUCUGGCCAGAAAGCCACGGCUAACUACGUGCCAGCCGCCGCGGUAA
This 524-nucleotide ribosomal RNA is filed under the name uncultured bacterium. RNAcentral describes it as "partial 16S ribosomal RNA". It matches the Rfam family "Bacterial small subunit ribosomal RNA", at positions 28 to 523 of the family's 1533-position model. The record is from RNAcentral.